Rhododendron vialii is the source of this 927-nucleotide long non-coding RNA. RefSeq lists it as uncharacterized. NCBI's taxonomy places the organism in Eukaryota, Viridiplantae, Streptophyta, Magnoliopsida, Ericales, Ericaceae. The record is from RefSeq and is a predicted model, not a curated record. The transcript has 3 exons.
GGGCGCUCAAUUAUUUUGGCCCUAAUUCUCUAAAAUAAUUCAAAUCCCAAAAUCUGUUCGUGCCUCUCUCAAAACAAAUGGCGCUCUGCUGAAGAGAAAUCCCCAAAUCCCGUCUCUCUCGCUCUCUCCUGCCUGCGUAUGGCCCCAUUCAUUCGAAGUGCCUCUGAUUUUUGCCCUAGGGCACACAGUAGCGUUCCUCCUUCCUCAGUCUCCCGCAACGACCUCCAUCCCCAGUCUCCCGCAACGACCUCCAUCCCCACCACUCUGUGCGUCACAGUUCAAGCCCUAGCUCCCUCGUCCGUUCCCAACGGUUUAUUCAUAUGUAUGAUUAGCUAGCUCGGAGCAGGUCUGUUUCUUUAGCCACGACGCAGAUUGCUAUCCUUUCAUUUCUGUAUUGGAAAGGGCUAAGGAUUGGCUUCCUCAGGAUCGCAGAUCUCGGUCCUUGAAGGGUUGUGUUACUCUCAAGAUAAAGACCCAUCAUGUUGAAAGAAAGGAGAAAUUAGCGCGCAAUUCCAAUAGAAGAUGCCAGGGUAACUCAAAGCAGCUUUUAGCCCUCAUUCAUUUUUAGUGUUGAUGAUCUAACUUUAGUUCUAUAAGGUGUCGUUGAUAGUCUAAACAGUUCUAUACAACCAUGUUCGUGUCGUUUGGCUUUGGAAGCAAAAAGAGAAAAAAAAUCAGGCAAAGAAGCAAGCUUCAACUUUGGGAAAUCUGCACAGAAAUUACCUCGAAAGGAUAUAUUUGGAUCUUUUUACUGAAGUAGUGUAGUAUAACUCUCAACUCUUUUAUGCAAUUUGUGUUGGAAUUUUUUUGAUUUACAAGCUGAUGUAAUUAAUUUUAUGCAAUGGAUGAUUAUAUUGACAAUAUUUAGCAUUUGGAUACUAUGGGCGUUGAUGAAAUACAAAAUGAAAUGGAUGUCAAUUUACAAAA